CCUACGGGGCGCAGCAGUGGGGAAUAUUGGACAAUGGGCGAAAGCCUGAUCCAGCCAUGCCGCGUGUGUGAAGAAGGCCUUCGGGUUGUAAAGCACUUUCAGUGGGGAAGAAAGCCUUGGGGCUAAUACCCUCGAGGAAGGACAUCACCCACAGAAGAAGCACCGGCUAACUCCGUGCCAGCAGCCGCGGUAAUACGGAGGGUGCGAGCGUUAAUCGGAAUUACUGGGCGUAAAGCGCGCGUAGGCGGUCUGAUAAGCCGGUUGUGAAAGCCCCGGGCUCAACCUGGGAACGGCAUCCGGAACUGUCAGGCUAGAGUGCAGUAGAGGAAGGUAGAAUUCCCGGUGUAGCGGUGAAAUGCGUAGAGAUCGGGAGGAAUACCAGUGGCGAAGGCGGCCUUCUGGACUGACACUGACGCUGAGGUGCGAAAGCGUGGGUAGCAAACAGGAUUAGAUACCCGAGUAGUC
RNAcentral lists this ribosomal RNA (465 nucleotides) under Vreelandella stevensii. RNAcentral's name for it is "partial 16S ribosomal RNA". It matches the Rfam family "Bacterial small subunit ribosomal RNA", at positions 338 to 795 of the family's 1533-position model. Lineage: Bacteria; Pseudomonadati; Pseudomonadota; Gammaproteobacteria; Oceanospirillales; Halomonadaceae. The record is from RNAcentral.